Oncorhynchus keta (chum salmon) is the source of this 294-nucleotide long non-coding RNA. RefSeq lists it as uncharacterized. The record is from RefSeq and is a predicted model, not a curated record. The transcript has 3 exons. Lineage: Eukaryota; Metazoa; Chordata; Actinopteri; Salmoniformes; Salmonidae.
AUCAACCUUUUCAUUACUGGUUGUUGAAUAUAUUUAUAUAUACACCUUGCUGUUAUUAUUUAUGUAAAUGUAUUUUUUCAUUACUGGUUAAUAAAUAAACUGUGACAGCAGUAGGUUAGAAGGCUGAUAUCCCAAUCAACUGUAACAGCAGUAGGUUAGAAGGCUGAUAUCCCAAUCAACUGUAACAGCAGUAGGUUAGAAGGCUGAUAUCCCAAUCAACUGUAACAGCAGUAGGUUAGAAGGCUGAUACCCCAGUCUCCUGAAAGCAGCAGUACUCACGGGCAGGCCAGCCCC